GUAAAUAGUACAUAUAUUUUGGGUGAACUGUGCUUUUAAAUCAGGAAAGAUGUUCUGAAUUGGCACAAAUCUGUGUGAAAAAAGUGCGUUUCUCUUUAAAAAAAGACCAAAUACACCAGAUUUAACAUAAUUUUGCUUGUUUUUAGGUGGAAAACUUGAUUAAUCUUUCUGAUAUCAAGACGCUUGAUGUUUUUAUUUUAAUGUCUUGAUGAGAUAAUCU
This 220-nucleotide unclassified non-coding RNA is filed under the name Hevea brasiliensis (rubber tree). The record is from RNAcentral. Lineage: Eukaryota; Viridiplantae; Streptophyta; Magnoliopsida; Malpighiales; Euphorbiaceae.